UCCCUGGUGGCUCAGAUGGUAAAGCAUCUGUCUGCAAUGCAGGAAAUCCAGGUUCAGUUCCUGGGUUGGGAA
Molecule: transfer RNA, 72 nt
Filed under: Ovis aries (sheep)
Lineage: Eukaryota; Metazoa; Chordata; Mammalia; Artiodactyla; Bovidae
Rfam family: tRNA
About the family: Transfer RNA (tRNA) molecules are approximately 80 nucleotides in length. Their secondary structure includes four short double-helical elements and three loops (D, anti-codon, and T loops).
Source: Rfam by way of RNAcentral